UGUACUGGGAUGGUAUAUCGAACAAGGACUGUGAAGGGAUAGCCGAGGAGCGGCAAAAGGUAAGCAGGAUGUUUACCCGUCAGGAUGACACAUGGACCUCUUCAGGACGAAGUCAGGGACCCCUCCAGGAAGGAUGUUGAGCGUCAGGAUAGGAUAUGCUGACAGGUCAGGACGGCCAAUGGACAACUUCGGGACGAAGAAUAAAAGGAAUAUGCUGACGGAUUACAGCAAUUCAACGGAAUGAUGCAGGGAGCAUCAUAGUAGCGGGACUGCUGCAUGUAAGACCUAAGGGCGCAACGAAAGUUGCGCCCGUUCUUUUUUCU
This 323-nucleotide non-coding RNA is filed under the name Photobacterium lutimaris. The record is from RNAcentral. Lineage: Bacteria; Pseudomonadati; Pseudomonadota; Gammaproteobacteria; Vibrionales; Vibrionaceae.